This 932-nucleotide long non-coding RNA is filed under the name Homo sapiens (human). Its description in RNAcentral is "HSALNT0180448". The record is from RNAcentral. Lineage: Eukaryota; Metazoa; Chordata; Mammalia; Primates; Hominidae.
CUCACUGUGCAGAUUUUCCCCACAGAAACAUAGAGGGGGACUCAUGAUCUCCAAAAGAUUUUGAACCAUGGCUCCAGUCAAGUCACUUGACAGUGGGACAGAGAAGAAACAGAAAAUUACCUUGGCAAAUCUUCAAAAGUGAGAUAAGAAAAUUGCUACAGUAGAGUGGACUUAAGAUUUCCUUUCUAUUGUGGAGGUAAAAAACUGGAAACAGUAUAUGCUCAUCAAUGCAAAAAGCCUUAAAUUUUAUGGUAUAUUAAAACUAUGAGAUUAAUAAUAAAGAUAUUUUAUGAGGAUGAAGACAUUUAUUCUAUACCAGUUGAUUUGCAGGAUUUUCCAUGCUGUGAUCAAAAAGUGAGACGAGCAAGAAUCAGAGAAGUCUUUGUAAUGUAAUUCCAUUUUUAUAGAAUAAAUCAUGACAAGCUUCCUUUCCCCUUACAUAUGUGUAUAUGUAUGUGUGUGUGUGUAUGUGUGUGUGUACAUACAAUAUGAACAAGGAGAAAAAAUCUAGAAGACCAGAUAUCAGAUUGUUAAUGAAGAGAAACCAAGAGCAGGUGAGGGUGGGUUAUUCAGUUAAGGGAGUAAAGGAGAAGCGGGAUGUGUAUAAAACAAAUGAACAAACAAGUGAACAAAUAAAUAACAGCAAAAAGACCCACUAUAUUGAAAAAGGAAGGCCUAUAAUAAGAGCUGCAGACAUCAUAUGAACACAGUUAUAUAAAAUUAAAUAUAUGUACAUAUAUGCAUAAGGAGAGGCAUGGAAGAAUGAUGAUUCAAAUGGUGGUUAUCUCAGAAAGAGAAUAGCAAUUGAUAUUUUAUUCUAUUUCUCAUAUUUUCUGAAGAUGAUUCGUUUAUUUUUUAUAAAUUUUUAAAAAAUAAAUAGAGAUGAGGGUCUCACUAUGUUGGCCAGGUUGGUCUGGACUCCUGGCCUCAAG